GCUUGUCUCAAAGAUUAAGCCAUGCAUGUCUAAGUAUAAACAAAUCUGUACUGUGAAACUGCGAAUGGCUCAUUAAAUCAGUUAUAAUUUACUUGAUAGUCACUUUAUCAUUGGAUAACCGUGGUAAUUCUAGAGCUAAUACAUGCAUAAAACCCUAACUUCUGGAAAGGGUGUAUUUAUUAGAUGGAAACCAAUGCGGGGUAACCCGGAAUAUGGUGAUUCAUAAUAACUUUCGGAUCGAUUUAUCGAUGCAUCAUUCAAGUUUCUGCCCUAUCAGCUUUGGAUGGUAGGGUAUUGGCCUACCAUGGCUUUAACGGGUAACGGAGAAUUAGGGUUCGAUUCCGGAGAGGGAGCCUGAGAAACGGCUACCACAUCCAAGGAAGGCAGCAGG
RNAcentral lists this ribosomal RNA (391 nucleotides) under uncultured Chrysophyceae. RNAcentral describes it as "partial small subunit ribosomal RNA". It matches the Rfam family "Eukaryotic small subunit ribosomal RNA", at positions 30 to 432 of the family's 1831-position model. The record is from RNAcentral. Lineage: Eukaryota; Chrysophyceae.